CAAUAGCGUAUAUUAAAGUUGCUGCAGUUAAAACGCUCGUAGUUGUUGUCCAACUAUACGCCACAUGCCUCAAUUGAAGCUGUGGUUUCAUAGUUUAGCGGGGAAACCUGCCAAAACCUUGAGGAAAGAUUAGUGUUCCAAGCAGUACUUUUUUGACCUCUCCAGCAUGGUAUAUAACCAAUUCGAGGAAGAUUCUUGCCACAUCUUCAUCAUACUAAAUAGAAAUUCAAGGGGGUAUACGUACUUUAAUGUCAGAGGUGAAAUUCCUAGAUUGUUAAGAGACGAACAAAUGCGAAAGCACUCACCAAGCGACUUUUCUUUGAC
RNAcentral lists this ribosomal RNA (324 nucleotides) under uncultured eukaryote. RNAcentral's name for it is "partial 18S ribosomal RNA". It matches the Rfam family "Eukaryotic small subunit ribosomal RNA", at positions 592 to 977 of the family's 1831-position model. The record is from RNAcentral.